GCCGAGGUAGCUCAGCCUGGGAGAGCGCCCGGCUGAAGACCGGGUUGUCGUGCGUUCAAAUCGCACCCUCGGCACCA
RNAcentral lists this transfer RNA (77 nucleotides) under Candidatus Bathyarchaeota archaeon. Its description in RNAcentral is "tRNA-Phe". It matches the Rfam family "tRNA". From Rfam's summary of the family: Transfer RNA (tRNA) molecules are approximately 80 nucleotides in length. Their secondary structure includes four short double-helical elements and three loops (D, anti-codon, and T loops). Further hydrogen bonds mediate the characteristic L-shaped molecular structure. tRNAs have two regions of fundamental functional importance: the anti-codon, which is responsible for specific mRNA codon recognition, and the 3' end, to which the tRNAs corresponding amino acid is attached (by aminoacyl-tRNA synthetases). tRNAs cope with the degeneracy of the genetic code in two manners: having more than one tRNA (with a specific anti-codon) for a particular amino acid; and 'wobble' base-pairing, i.e. permitting non-standard base-pairing at the 3rd anti-codon position. The record is from RNAcentral. Lineage: Archaea; Thermoproteati; Candidatus Bathyarchaeota. RNAcentral also lists the same sequence under 1 other name.